RNAcentral lists this ribosomal RNA (460 nucleotides) under uncultured bacterium. Its description in RNAcentral is "partial 16S ribosomal RNA". It matches the Rfam family "Bacterial small subunit ribosomal RNA", at positions 338 to 795 of the family's 1533-position model. The record is from RNAcentral.
CCUACGGGAGGCAGCAGUGAGGAAUAUUGGUCAAUGGGCGCGAGCCUGAACCAGCCACGUAGCGUGAAGGAUGAAUGCCCUACGGGUUGUAAACUUCUUUUAUAACGGAAUAAAGUGAGGCACGUGUGCCUUAUUGUAUGUACUUUAUGAAUAAGGAUCGGCUAACUCUGUGCCAGCAGCCGCGGUAAUACGGAGGAUCCGAGCGUUAUCCGGAUUUAUUGGGUUUAAAGGGAGCGGAGAUGGGUUGUUAAGUCAGUUGUGAAAGUUUGCGGCUCAACCGUAAGAUUGCAAGUGAUACUGGCAGUCGUGAGUACAGUAGAGGUAAGCGGAAUUCGUGGUGUAGCGGUGAAAUGCUUAGAUAUCACGAAGAACUCCGAUGGCGAAGGCAGCUUACUAAACUGCCACUGACAUUGAUGCUCGAAAGUGUGGGGAGCAAACAGGAUUAGAUACCCUGGUAGUC